This 85-nucleotide transfer RNA is filed under the name Microseira wollei NIES-4236. RNAcentral's name for it is "tRNA-Ile". The record is from RNAcentral. Lineage: Bacteria; Bacillati; Cyanobacteriota; Cyanophyceae; Aerosakkonematales; Aerosakkonemataceae.
GGGUAAUGGCUAAUGGCUAAUGGCUAAUGGCUAAUGGCUAAUGGGUAAUAGUAAGGGAAAGGGUUUCGCUCCCUUCUUACUCUCC